UACGUAGGGUGCAAGCGUUAUCCGGAAUUAUUGGGCGUAAAGAGCUCUUAGGCGGUUUGUCGCGUCUGCUGUGAAAACUGGAGGCUCAACCUCCAGCCUGCAGUGGGUACGGGCAGACUAGAGUGCGGUAGGGGAGAUUGGAAUUCCUGGUGUAGCGGUGAAAUGCGCAGAUAUCAGGAGGAACACCGGUGGCGAAGGCGGGUCUCUGGGCAAUAACUGACGCUGAGGAGCGAAAGCGUGGGGAGCGAACAGG
RNAcentral lists this ribosomal RNA (253 nucleotides) under uncultured bacterium. RNAcentral's name for it is "partial 16S ribosomal RNA". It matches the Rfam family "Bacterial small subunit ribosomal RNA", at positions 524 to 776 of the family's 1533-position model. The record is from RNAcentral.